This 346-nucleotide ribosomal RNA is filed under the name uncultured bacterium. Its description in RNAcentral is "partial 16S ribosomal RNA". It matches the Rfam family "Bacterial small subunit ribosomal RNA", at positions 338 to 681 of the family's 1533-position model. The record is from RNAcentral.
CCUACGGGAGGCAGCAGUGAGGAAUAUUGGUCAAUGGCCGGAAGGCUGAACCAGCCAUGCCGCGUGAAGGGCAGGGACCUAUGGGCGUUAAACUUCUUUUGUGCGGGAGCAAGAAUGGUCACGUGUGGCCAGACGAGAGUACCGUACGAAGAAGCAGCGGCUAACUCCGUGCCAGCAGCCGCGGUAAUACGGGGGAUGCAAGCGUUAUCCGGAUUUCUUGGGGUUAACGGGUGCGUAGGCGGUGAGGUAAGUCAGCGGGGAAAUGCCCCCGCUCAACGGGGUGAAGUGCCAUUGAUACUGCCUUGCUGGACUGCGGAUGCCGUGGGCGGAAUGUGUGGUGUAGCGG